ACGAACGCUGGCGGCGUGCUUAACACAUGCCAGUCGAACGGAAAGGCCCUGCUUUUGUGGGGUGCUCGAGUGGCGAACGGGUGAGUAACACGUGAGUAACCUGCCCUUGACUUUGGGAUAACUUCAGGAAACUGGGGCUAAUACCGGAUAGGAGCUCCUGCUGCAUGGUGGGGGUUGGAAAGUUUCGGCGGUUGGGGAUGGACUCGCGGCUUAUCAGCUUGUUGGUGGGGUAGUGGCUUACCAAGGCUUUGACGGGUAGCCGGCCGGAGGGGGUGACCGGCCACAUUGGGACUGAGAUACGGCCCAGACUCCUACGGGAGGCAGCAGUGGGGAAUAUUGCACAAUGGGCGGAAGCCUGAUGCAGCAACGCCGCGUGCGGGAUGACGGCCUUCGGGUUGUAAACCGCUUUCGCCUGUGACGAAGCGUGAGUGACGGUAAUGGGUAAAGAAGCACCGGCUAACUACG
Molecule: ribosomal RNA, 465 nt
Filed under: uncultured bacterium
Lineage: Bacteria
Description: partial 16S ribosomal RNA
Rfam family: Bacterial small subunit ribosomal RNA
Source: RNAcentral